Molecule: ribosomal RNA, 459 nt
Filed under: uncultured bacterium
Lineage: Bacteria
Description: partial 16S ribosomal RNA
Rfam family: Bacterial small subunit ribosomal RNA
Source: RNAcentral
CCUACGGGAGGCAGCAGUGAGGAAUAUUGGUCAAUGGGCGGGAGCCUGAACCAGCCAAGUCGCGUGAGGGAUGACGGCCCUACGGGUUGUAAACCUCUUUUGUCGGGGAGUAAAGUGCCGCACGUGUGCGUUUUUGAGUGUACCCUGUGAAUAAGCAUCGGCUAACUCCGUGCCAGCAGCCGCGGUAAUACGGAGGAUCCGAGCGUUAUCCGGAUUUAUUUGGUUUAAAGGGUGCGUGGGGGGGCGUUUAAGUCAGUGGUAAAAUUUUGGGGAUCAACCUCGUCGAGCAGUUGAAACUGGGAGCCUGGAGUGGGCGAGAGGUAGGCGGAAUGCGUGGUGUAGCGGUGAAAUGCAUAGAUAUCACGAAGAACUCCGAUUGCGAAGGCAGCGUACCGGAGCGCAACUGACGCUGAUGCACGAAGGCGUGGGUAUCGAACAGGAUUAGAUACCCUUGUAGUC